GCGUUUGUGGUUUAGUGGUAAAAUUCAUCGUUGCCAUCCACCGAAAGUUGGAGCAACUUCGAUGAGCCCCGGGUUCGAUUCCCGGCAGACGCA
This is a non-coding RNA of Orbilia brochopaga, 93 nucleotides long. The record is from the annotation of a GenBank genome assembly. Lineage: Eukaryota; Fungi; Ascomycota; Orbiliomycetes; Orbiliales; Orbiliaceae.